Molecule: transfer RNA, 86 nt
Filed under: Capsulimonas corticalis
Lineage: Bacteria; Bacillati; Armatimonadota; Armatimonadia; Capsulimonadales; Capsulimonadaceae
Description: tRNA-Ser
Source: RNAcentral
GGAAGGUGAGCGCCGCUGGGCGGCGGGGUCUCUUGAAAAGAUUACGCUCCGUGAGGAGUCGGGUUCGAUUCCUGCGCCUUCCUCCA